This 253-nucleotide ribosomal RNA is filed under the name uncultured bacterium. RNAcentral describes it as "partial 16S ribosomal RNA". It matches the Rfam family "Bacterial small subunit ribosomal RNA", at positions 524 to 776 of the family's 1533-position model. The record is from RNAcentral.
UACAGAGGUCUCAAGCGUUGUUCGGAUUCAUUGGGCGUAAAGGGUGCGUAGGCGGCGCGGUAAGUCGGGUGUGAAAUCUCGGGGCUUAAUUCCGAAACUGCAUUCGAUACUGCCGUGCUUGAGGACUGGAGAGGAGACUGGAAUUUACGGUGUAGCGGUGAAAUGCGUAGAUAUCGUAAGGAAGACCAGUGGCGAAGGCGGGUCUCUGGACAGUUCCUGACGCUGAGGCACGAAGGCCAGGGGAGCAAACGGG